This 72-nucleotide transfer RNA is filed under the name Odocoileus virginianus texanus. It matches the Rfam family "tRNA". From Rfam's summary of the family: Transfer RNA (tRNA) molecules are approximately 80 nucleotides in length. RNAcentral also lists the same sequence under 8 other names. The record is from Rfam by way of RNAcentral. Lineage: Eukaryota; Metazoa; Chordata; Mammalia; Artiodactyla; Cervidae.
UCCCUUGUGGCUCAGCUGGUAAAGAAUCUGCCUGCAAUGCAGGAGACCUGGGUUUGAUCCCUGGUUUGGGAA